GACGAACGCUGGCGGCGUGCCUAAUACAUGCAAGUAGAACGCACAGUUUAUACCGUAGCUUGCUACACCAUAGACUGUGAGUUGCGAACGGGAGAGUAACGCGUAGGUAACCUGCCUGGUAGCGGGGGAUAACUAUUGGAAACGAUAGCUAAUACCGCAUAAUAUUAAUUAUUGCAUGAUAAUUAAUUGAAAGGUGCAAUUGCACCACUACCAGAUGGACCUGCGUUGUAUUAGCUAGUAGGUGAGGUAACGGCCCAACUAGGCGACGAUACAUAGCCGACCUGGGGAGGGGGUCGGCCAACCUGGGACUGGGACCCGGCCCCGACUUCUUCCGGGGGCCGCAGUAGGGAAACCUCCGCAAUGGACGAAAGUCUGACCGGACAACGCCGCGUGAGUGGAGGAGGGUUUCGGAUCGUAAAGCUCUGUUGUAAGGGAAGAACGGGUGUGGGAGUGGAAAGUUCGCACUGUGACGGUAUCUUACCAGAAAGCGACGGCUAACUACGUG
Molecule: ribosomal RNA, 505 nt
Filed under: uncultured bacterium
Lineage: Bacteria
Description: partial 16S ribosomal RNA
Rfam family: Bacterial small subunit ribosomal RNA
Source: RNAcentral